This is a long non-coding RNA of Eurytemora carolleeae, 434 nucleotides long. RefSeq lists it as uncharacterized. Lineage: Eukaryota; Metazoa; Arthropoda; Copepoda; Calanoida; Temoridae. The record is from RefSeq and is a predicted model, not a curated record. The transcript is spliced from 2 exons.
UAUCAUAUUUCAUUCUUUAUAGGGACUGUAAACAGCGUUCUGGAUUUCAAAGUAAAAUUGAGAAAAUAUAAAUAAUUGACUUUUAACUAGAGAAAAUUGAUUCUAUUUUAAAUUCUUUCUUUCUAUUAAACCAGAACAACCUAAUCACCAUGAUAUGCUUGAAAUUAGUCUAAAAUUACAGAUAGCAGGCCCUCCGCUGAAAUGGCUGAGCUCUCUGGUGCCCAUUUCAUUACACAAUCAUCAGGUGUAUAAACCAAGUUCAAUGAUGCGUAGAUGAAGCAGGAACCGAGUUUAAACCAGGAAGAUUAUCUGAAUUGUACUUAAAGAAGGGAGUUGGAGAAUAUACUUCAGUCCCGCAUACCAUCUAGCGGGGUUCACAUACACUUUAUAUUCAGCAAUGUUUUUAUCAAUUGGAAUAAAAUAUACAUUAAUAA